AUGUUUCUGACUCCACUGAUCACACUGCUGCUCGGACUUCAAGGAUCAGGAGCCAGUCCAUCUGUGAUUCAGUCUCCUGCAUCAAAGUCUGUUGGUUUGGGGGAAACUGUGUCUCUGAGCUGUUCAGCAAGUACAGGAGUUGAUGAUGAUCUCAGCUGGUAUCUGCAGAAAGCUGGACAGCCUCCCAAACUGUUGUUUUAUAAAAUUAGCACACGUGAAUCUGACACUCCGAGUCGCUUCAGCAGCAGCGGAUCAGAGCCUGAAUUCACUCUGACAAUCAGUGGAGUUCAGGCUGGUGAUGCAGGAGUUUACUACUGUUUGGGUGUUUACAGAGGCCCAGUGUUCACACAGUGA
This is a non-coding RNA of Amphiprion ocellaris (clown anemonefish), 354 nucleotides long. NCBI's taxonomy places the organism in Eukaryota, Metazoa, Chordata, Actinopteri, Pomacentridae. The record is from the annotation of a RefSeq genome assembly.